UCGAAUUUAUAAAAUUCUACUGUAAACAUUUCUAAUGAAUCCCACAGCCACCUAUUUACCAAACUGACAAAUUUAACUAAGCAAAAACAGAAAGCCUCAAGUUUUAGAAUGACAAAGCAUAUUUAUCAUGUUUCUUCAUGAGUAGACUAAGGUCAUUUGAGAAGCUUACUACAGUAUCAACGUUGCAAUAAUUUCAUCAAAAUCGAUUUCAAACAAGAUAGAUGA
Molecule: unclassified non-coding RNA, 225 nt
Filed under: Hevea brasiliensis (rubber tree)
Lineage: Eukaryota; Viridiplantae; Streptophyta; Magnoliopsida; Malpighiales; Euphorbiaceae
Source: RNAcentral